Non-coding RNA from Acanthosepion pharaonis, 112 nucleotides. The record is from the annotation of a GenBank genome assembly. NCBI's taxonomy places the organism in Eukaryota, Metazoa, Mollusca, Cephalopoda, Sepiida, Sepiidae.
UUACGGCCACAUCACGUUGAAACACCGGUCCCUGUACGAUCAUCAAAGUUAAGUAACAUCGAGCCAGGUCAGUACCUAGAUGGGUGACCGCUUGAGAAUACCAAGUUUUGUA